RNAcentral lists this ribosomal RNA (371 nucleotides) under uncultured organism. Its description in RNAcentral is "bacterial SSU rRNA". It matches the Rfam family "Bacterial small subunit ribosomal RNA", at positions 525 to 896 of the family's 1533-position model. The record is from RNAcentral.
CAGUGUGGGGCAAGCGUUGUUCGGAAUUACUGGGCAUAAAGGGUGCGUAGGUGGUUUGUUAAGUCAGGGGUGAAAUCCCGCGGCCCAACCGUGGAACUGCCUUUGAUACUGGCGAACUUGAGUGCGUGAGGGGUAGGGGGAACGAGCAGUGUAGCGGUGAAAUGCGUAGAUAUUGCUCGGAAGGCCAGAGCCGAAGGGGCCCUACUGGUGCGCAACUGACACUGAGGCACGAAAGCGUGGGGAGCAAACAGGAUUAGAUACCCUGGUAGUCCACGCCGUAAACUAUGAGCACUAGAUGGAUGCCGAGCUAUCGGUGUCUGUCGGAGGCAAUUUGGUAAGUGCUCCGCCUGGGGAGUAUGGUCGCAAGGCUG